Molecule: long non-coding RNA, 230 nt
Filed under: Lathyrus oleraceus (garden pea)
Lineage: Eukaryota; Viridiplantae; Streptophyta; Magnoliopsida; Fabales; Fabaceae
Description: Pisum sativum (pea) long non-coding RNA (PSAT_LNC012727)
Source: RNAcentral
UUUUUAUCCAAGUCAAAUUAAAAUACCCAAUCACAAUUAAAUACCAUUUCAUUUUGGAAAUGAAAAGGGGGAUGGUUUUGAGUUUUCAGCUCCUCUCCUCGAUUAUUUGAAUACGAGUUUUCUUACUCGUUUAGUCAAAUGGUCGUCAUUUAUAAUUCAUUUAAGCACAAACAAAUCAAAUCCUUUUAUAACAAGAAACUAAAAGGGAGAUAACUUUGAGUCUUCAAUUU